AACGGCCAUACCGAGGUGAAUAUACCGGUUCUCGUUAGAUCAACCGAAGUCAAGUAUCAUUGGGCCCGGUCAGUACUUGGAUGGGUGACCACCUGGGAACACCGCGUGCCGUU
This 113-nucleotide ribosomal RNA is filed under the name Caerostris darwini. Lineage: Eukaryota; Metazoa; Arthropoda; Arachnida; Araneae; Araneidae. The record is from RNAcentral.